GGCGAACGCUGGCGGCGUGCUUAACACAUGCAAGUCGAACGGAAAGGCCCUGCUUUUGUGGGGUGCUCGAGUGGCGAACGGGUGAGUAACACGUGAGUAACCUGCCCUUGACUUUGGGAUAACUUCAGGAAACUGGGGCUAAUACCGGAUAGGAGCUCCUGCUGCAUGGUGGGGGUUGGAAAGUUUCGGCGGUUGGGGAUGGACUCGCGGCUUAUCAGCUUGUUGGUGGGGUAGUGGCUUACCAAGGCUUUGACGGGUAGCCGGCCUGAGAGGGUGACCGGCCACAUUGGGACUGAGAUACGGCCCAGACUCCUACGGGAGGCAGCAGUGGGGAAUAUUGCACAAUGGGCGGAAGCCUGAUGCAGCAACGCCGCGUGCGGGAUGACGGCCUUCGGGUUGUAAACCGCUUUCGCCUGUGACGAAGUGUGAGUGACGGUAAUGGGUAAAGAAGCACCGGCUAACUACGUG
Molecule: ribosomal RNA, 468 nt
Filed under: uncultured bacterium
Lineage: Bacteria
Description: partial 16S ribosomal RNA
Rfam family: Bacterial small subunit ribosomal RNA
Source: RNAcentral